UUACGUGAGAAAAUGGAUAAAUAUAAGGCAUAAAUAUCCAAGUUUCUAGCAACUUCUUCAAAUUUCCAGCAGAUUCUUCAAGCUUCCAGCAACUUUUUCUUCUUCCUCACCCAUCCAAUGCCAUUUUUCAUUCCACCUCCAUGAAAAUCAAAUUUUUCAUGUGAUUUUUCCUUGUUUUCUUUUUAUUUCUUUUCUUUUCCUAAUCCUUCCUUCUCCUAACUUCUUGGCCACUGAAUUUGCAGCUUCUAACCCCAAUUUCCAGCACAUCUAAACCCUAGGAGAGAGAGAGAAAAAUCUUUCCUUGUUUCUUAUAUUUUCUAUUUCUACUUCACUUUCAGCAACACUAGGAUUUUUGGCUUCAAAUCUUCAUUUUCAAGGUUGAAAGGUAUCAAUUUCCAACUUUUGGAAAUUUUGAAUUUAUGGCUAUAUUUUCAGAUUUAUUCUCUAAUUUCUUCAAAUUAUUUUUCUUGGAAAGAUUAGGUUUUUGGUUGAUCUUCAUN
Molecule: long non-coding RNA, 500 nt
Filed under: Theobroma cacao (cacao)
Lineage: Eukaryota; Viridiplantae; Streptophyta; Magnoliopsida; Malvales; Malvaceae
Description: long non-coding RNA (TCAC_LNC001612)
Source: RNAcentral